Long non-coding RNA from Monomorium pharaonis (pharaoh ant), 647 nucleotides. RefSeq lists it as uncharacterized. The record is from RefSeq and is a predicted model, not a curated record. NCBI's taxonomy places the organism in Eukaryota, Metazoa, Arthropoda, Insecta, Hymenoptera, Formicidae. The transcript is spliced from 2 exons.
UUAGACGGAUACAAUUAAUUCCGUUAAGCUACACGGAGAUUAUUUUCCUUUUCUAAAAAAGAUAUGUUAUUUAUUUAUCGAAUGUAUCGAAGUCAUCUCGAAAGUCUCGAAGAAUUGUUGCCUUUAAUCCACGAUGCUGAUUGGUUCUUUCGCUGAUCAUUGAACCGCAUGCUUCGUAGUGUUUGACAGUUGUGUUUGACAGUUGUGUUUUCAAAUCAAAAUUGGUUAUAUCAAAAGUGUGUAAGUAAUAAGGUAAGUAAUAAAGAGAUAUAUUAAGUAAUAAUAUAAUCUCUCUCUCUCGGAAAUAACAAUAAUAUCUUUAAAAUUUUAUAAUCUUUUAGAAAAAAAAAAAGGAAAGGAAAUAGAUUGGUAGGAGAAAGAGAGAGUUUCGACUUUUGUAGAAAGAAGAAGCAGAAAAGGAAACAGAAGGUGAAACAGCGACUUCUAUAGAAAGAAGGAGCGGAAAAAGAGAGAGAGAGAAAGAGAGUGUAAGAAAGAAGAAAAAGAAAAGUGUUAGAGCAUUAACAGUAAAUAUUAUUAAGAUAGAGGAUAGAUAUAGACAACAUAAAAAUAUGAUUAAUAAUUUGUGUUGAGAGGGAAAGAGAGAAAGAGAGAGAGGGAGAAAAAGAGAGUGAGAGAGCGUGAGA